AUUGAACGCUGGCGGCAUGCCUUACACAUGCAAGUCGAACGGCAGCACGGGGGCAACCCUGGUGGCGAGUGGCGAACGGGUGAGUAACAUAUCGGAACAUACCCUAGAGUGGGGGAUAACGUAGCGAAAGUUACGCUAAUACCGCAUACGAUCUAAGGAUGAAAGUGGGGGAUCUUCGGACCUCAUGCUCAUGGAGUGGCCGAUAUCUGAUUAGCUAGUUGGGUGAGGUAAAGGCUCACCAAGGCGACGAUCAGUAGCUGGUUUGAGAGAACGACCAGCCACACUGGACUGAGACACGGUCCAGACUCCUACGGAGGCAGCAGUGGGGAAUUUUUGGACAAUGGGGGCAACCCUGAUCCAGCAAUG
Molecule: ribosomal RNA, 366 nt
Filed under: uncultured bacterium
Lineage: Bacteria
Description: bacterial SSU rRNA
Rfam family: Bacterial small subunit ribosomal RNA
Source: RNAcentral